UACGUAGGGUGCGAGCGUUAAUCUGAAUUACUGGGCGUAAAGCGUGCGCAGGCGGUUUUGUAAGCCCGAUGUGAAAUCCCCGGGCUUAACCUGGGAAUGGCAUUUGGGACUGCAAGGCUUGAGUGCGGCAGAGGAGACUGGAAUUCCUGGUGUAGCAGUGAAAUGCGUAGAUAUCAGGAGGAAUACCGAUGGCGAAGGCAGGUCUCUGGGCUGACACUGACGCUCAUGCACGAAAGCGUGGGGAGCAAACAGG
RNAcentral lists this ribosomal RNA (253 nucleotides) under uncultured bacterium. RNAcentral describes it as "partial 16S ribosomal RNA". It matches the Rfam family "Bacterial small subunit ribosomal RNA", at positions 524 to 776 of the family's 1533-position model. The record is from RNAcentral.